Long non-coding RNA from Poecilia latipinna (sailfin molly), 1898 nucleotides. RefSeq lists it as uncharacterized. The transcript has 3 exons. The record is from RefSeq and is a predicted model, not a curated record. Lineage: Eukaryota; Metazoa; Chordata; Actinopteri; Cyprinodontiformes; Poeciliidae.
UUGUAUUAACUUCUGGAUAAAUUGUUGCCACUUCUUUCUUAGAUAUUUUUUUGUUUGUUUUUAUAUCUUUUAUUUUCUUCCAGUUUCUUUUCAAAGUCUAUUUGGCAGUUAGACUUCAGUCACAUGAAAUAAAUAUAGAUUUUGCUAUACUUGUUUUUUUUCUCUCGAGAUUUGGUUUGUCUCAUAUUUUCUAGUAAGAGCAACAGUUAAAAUAUUUAAAAUAAAUUUAACUGUUAAUGGAAGAUGACCUAUUUGGUGGUAAAAAGGUUCACUAGCAGAGAAGCAUAGCAAUAAAAAGGGAUUUAUUUUCAGGCUUUGCAACCAGGUAUGUCAGUGAAUGUGUCAGUGAAAUGAUUUCCCAUCCUAAAUUCAUGAGUAAACUGUUAAAAUGCUGUAAAAUGUGGUACUGAACAUGGAAAUGUUCCAUGUAUCUCUACAUUGUACACACUAGCUAGCUAGCUAGCUAGCAGUCCCGUGGUACCUCUUUAAAUAGCUUCCGCCUUCCUCUGAGGAAUGUGUUCCAGAUAAUGAAAGAGGUUCGGUGGCUUAGGGUUGUUUAGUCUGUAACAGGGCCGUCCACCUCCAGUCCUCAAGGCCCUAAAACACUGAGUCAAGGCCUAGUUUUACGUACCUGCUGCAACACAGCUCCUUAUCGGACUGCCUUCUCACGGAGCUGGUAACGAGCUUUCAUUUGAUUCAGGUGAACCAAGGUUUUGUACAAACGCCAUGCUGGAGUCCAUGCUGGCUGCAAAAACAUUUUGAAAGACAAACAGCCAGGAGCGUCACGAUGGCCUCUUCGGUCCAGCUCGCUAAUUAGGCCAAGUGUUAACAGAUCUCCACCUUUGACCCCACUCCACUGUUGUUUUAAUGAGCUCAAAGCAGCGGGCCCGCCUCCUAUUCACCCCAACACAUUCCACAGUGUGAGAGGGAAAUCGGCCGCCACAGGCUGCAGGUCCCCGUUUGUUUCUGGAGAGGAUUGUGAGAUAAACUGGUGCUGGAUGUUGAUUUAGCAAGUCCAGGUUUGGGCCCUCUGAAGCCAAAAAGGAGGAGGAUGUGGAAUGUGAUAAUUUAAACGGUUUUAAAGCCUUCUGGUUGUUGGAGUUUAAUGUGCCAGAGAUGCUUACGGUGGAGUUUGUUUUAUUUUUUUUUAAGGAAUUCAAUGUAAAAUAAGUUAGUGAUUUUACAUUGUUUGUCUAAUCUGUGGCUGUCCAGUCAGAAUAAAAAAAAACAACAAUCAGUCUCAUGGGCCACGCUUGAUUAACUUGGAAAUGGUGGAAAACUUUUAGAUUUAAAAUAAGGAUCUAUAUUCUCCAGGGGAGUACACACCAAGACAGCAACAGCAGCUAAAGCUAAUCAUGCUAGUUGCUAAUAUCAGAUGCUGAUUACAGUUUAUGUCAAUUUCAAAUCCUUUUGUCUUACCUUUUUAAGUUUUUUUUUUUUUUUGCCUGUCACAAAGCAAAAGUUCAAUUCAACCUUUACUGUCUCUUCCUAAAACCAGAUAAAGCAAAUUUCACCUGGCCAGACGAGCUCUUAGAAAGCAACUUAGUAGAUUUCUGAGAGGAACAGCAAAGAUGCUACUUGAGUUAAGAGCUUUCUUUCAAACUUAACACUGAAAUGUUUGGAAGACAUAUUUACUUUUCUUAAAACUACACCAAUAAGCUGACAGGGAUUUUGUCACAGGUGCAUCUUUUUCAAAAUAAAAAAAGGUGAGAUUAACUGUUUAGUAAAUAACAUCACACCAAAUGGCUGCCUAAAUGAGCAGCAAAGGGUUCACACCUUUUCCCAUCAAACAACAUUAUUCAGGUCCUGCCCUGCAGUUUUUGGAGGCUUUUGCGCCAAAAAUCUGAUUAUAUCAGAAGCUCCAAGCCAUAUCAGAAAAUUAAAGACAACAACCUCCG